Molecule: transfer RNA, 56 nt
Filed under: Bos taurus (domestic cattle)
Lineage: Eukaryota; Metazoa; Chordata; Mammalia; Artiodactyla; Bovidae
Also listed under: 4 other names
Rfam family: tRNA
About the family: Transfer RNA (tRNA) molecules are approximately 80 nucleotides in length. Their secondary structure includes four short double-helical elements and three loops (D, anti-codon, and T loops).
Source: Rfam by way of RNAcentral
UGGCUCAGUGGUAAAGCAUCUGCCUGAAAUGUAGGAGACCCAGGUUCAACCCCCGG